This 1343-nucleotide ribosomal RNA is filed under the name uncultured bacterium. RNAcentral's name for it is "16S ribosomal RNA". It matches the Rfam family "Bacterial small subunit ribosomal RNA", at positions 28 to 1378 of the family's 1533-position model. The record is from RNAcentral.
GACGAACGCUGGCGGCGUGCUUAACACAUGCAAGUCGAACGGAAAGGCCCUGCUUUUGUGGGGUGCUCGAGUGGCGAACGGGUGAGUAACACGUGAGUAACCUGCCCUUGACUUCGGGAUAACCUCAGGAAACUGGGGCUAAUACCGGAUAGGAGCUCCUGCUGCAUGGUGGGGGUUGGAAAGUUUCGGCGGUUGGGGAUGGACUCGCGGCUUAUCAGCUUGUUGGUGGGGUAGUGGCUUACCAAGGCUUUGACGGGUAGCCGGCCUGAGAGGGUGACCGGCCACAUUGGGACUGAGAUACGGCCCAGACUCCUACGGGAGGCAGCAGUGGGGAAUAUUGCACAAUGGGCGGAAGCCUGAUGCAGCAACGCCGCGUGCGGGAUGACGGCCUUCGGGUUGCAAACCGCUUUCGCCUGUGACGAAGCGUGAGUGACGGUAAUGGGUAAAGAAGCACCGGCUAACUACGUGCCAGCAGCCGCGGUGAUACGUAGGGUGCGAGCGUUGUCCGGAUUUAUUGGGCGUAAAGGGCUCGUAGGUGGUUGAUCGCGUCGGAAGUGUAAUCUUGGGGCUUAACCCUGAGCGUGCUUUCGAUACGGGUUGACUUGAGGAAGGUAGGGGAGAAUGGAAUUCCUGGUGGAGCGGUGGAAUGCGCAGAUAUCAGGAGGAACACCAGUGGCGAAGGCGGUUCUCUGGGCCUUUCCUGACGCUGAGGAGCGAAAGCGUGGGGAGCGAACAGGCUUAGAUACCCUGGUAGUCCACGCUGUAAACGGUGGGUACUAGGUGUGGGGUCCAUUCCACGGGUUCCGUGCCGUAGCUAACGCUUUAAGUACCCCGCCUGGGGAGUACGGCCGCAAGGCUAAAACUCAAAGGAAUUGACGGGGCCCCGCACAAGCGGCGGAGCAUGCGGAUUAAUUCGAUGCAACGCGUAGAACCUUACCUGGGUUUGACAUGGAUCGGGAGUGCUCAGAGAUGGGUGUGCCUCUUUUGGGGUCGGUUCACAGGUGGUGCAUGGCUGUCGUCAGCUCGUGUCGUGAGAUGUUGGGUUAAGUCCCGCAACGAGCGCAACCCUUGUUCACUGUUGCCAGCACGUUAUGGUGGGGACUCAGUGGAGACCGCCGGGGUCAACUCGGAGGAAGGUGGGGAUGACGUCAAGUCAUCAUGCCCCUUAUGUCCAGGGCUUCACGCAUGCUACAAUGGCUGGUACAGAGAGUGGCGAGCCUGUGAGGGUGAGCGAAUCUCGGAAAGCCGGUCUCAGUUCGGAUUGGGGUCUGCAACUCGACCUCAUGAAGUCGGAGUCGCUAGUAAUCGCAGAUCAGCAACGCUGCGGUGAAUACGUUCCCGGG